AAAUGCCAAAUCCAGCUGUGGAUGAAACACACAGGAAAAGGGGUGGCUCUGUGUCCCUGUGUGCUCUGGGCUCUGCCAGCAGAAGGACCAGGGGAAUGUUGUCAAUGUCAGAUCCAUCCUCAGCAUUCCUGAAUUCCAACUUUAUACCUCAAAAUGCCUGGAACACCCCAAGUUUUAUAGCAGCAAAAUUACUCCUGGGUGUAAGUGACCAGGUUUAUAGGGCCAAACCCUGCAUUUUUGGCUUCUCCUGGAAGCCUGGGCACAAAGCACCUGACUGCAACUGGGAAUUCAUCACCUCUCUCCCUGGACAUGCAAAUUUUACUGGAACUCCCUCAGCUAAGUCCUGUGUCCCCCAUGCCUUAGCAGGGAGCAGUGACACCUCAUCCUGCAGUCUGGAAUUCCAGGGAAUCCUGCAGCCCCAUGGGAAGCUGCUGGCUGGGAAGGGGCUGGGGAUGCUGACUGCUUGUGACAAGUCUUGCCUGGGAGAAAACCAACACGGCAGCGGUUGGAAACCUGAAUGA
This 521-nucleotide long non-coding RNA is filed under the name Parus major (Great Tit). Its description in RNAcentral is "lncRNA (ENSPMJG00000004737.1)". Lineage: Eukaryota; Metazoa; Chordata; Aves; Passeriformes; Paridae. The record is from RNAcentral.